AGCGAACGCUGGCGGCAGGCCUAACACAUGCAAGUCGAACGAACCUUUCGGGGUUAGUGGCGGACGGGUGAGUAACACGUGGGAACGUGCCUUUAGGUUCGGAAUAACUCAGGGAAACUUGUGCUAAUACCGAAUGUGCCCUUCGGGGGAAAGAUUUAUCGCCUUUAGAGCGGCCCGCGUCUGAUUAGCUAGUUGGUUGAGGUAAUGGCUCACCAAGGCGACGAUCAGUAGCUGGUCUGAGAGGAUGAUCAGCCACAUUGGGACUGAGACACGGCCCAAACUCCUACGGGAGGAAGCAGUGGGGAAUCUUGCGCAAUGGGCGAAAGCCUGACGCAGCCAUGCCGCGUGAAUGAUGAAGGUCUUAGGAUUGUAAAAUUCUUUCACCGGGGACGAUAAUGACGGUACCCGGAGAAGAAGCCCCGGCUAACUUCGUG
RNAcentral lists this ribosomal RNA (434 nucleotides) under uncultured bacterium. Its description in RNAcentral is "partial 16S ribosomal RNA". It matches the Rfam family "Bacterial small subunit ribosomal RNA", at positions 29 to 507 of the family's 1533-position model. The record is from RNAcentral.